RNAcentral lists this ribosomal RNA (253 nucleotides) under uncultured bacterium. RNAcentral describes it as "partial 16S ribosomal RNA". It matches the Rfam family "Bacterial small subunit ribosomal RNA", at positions 524 to 776 of the family's 1533-position model. The record is from RNAcentral.
UACAGAGGCCUCGAGCGUUAGGCGGAAUCACUGGGCUUAAAGCGUGUGUAGGCGGAUCGUUAAGUACCUUGUGAAAUCCCACGGCUUAACCGUGGAACUGCUUGGUAUACUGGCGAUCUUGUGCCACCUAGGGGCGAGCGGAACAGAUGGUGGAGCGGUGAAAUGCGUAGAUAUCAUUUGGAACGCCAAUGGUGAAAACAGCUCGCUGGGGGUUUGCUGACGCUGAGACACGAAAGCCAGGGGAGCAAACGGG